UACGAAGGGGGCUAGCGUUGCUCGGAAUCACUGGGCGUAAAGCGCACGUAGGCGGAUUGUUAAGUCAGGGGUGAAACCCUGGAGCUCAACUCCAGAACUGCCUUUGAUACUGGCGAUCUCGAGUCCGGGAGAGGUGAGUGGAACUGCGAGUGUAGAGGUGAAAUUCGUAGAUAUUCGCAAGAACACCAGUGGCGAAGGCGGCUCACUGGCCCGGUACUGACGCUGAGGUGCGAAGGUCAGGGGAGCAAACGGG
RNAcentral lists this ribosomal RNA (253 nucleotides) under uncultured bacterium. RNAcentral describes it as "partial 16S ribosomal RNA". It matches the Rfam family "Bacterial small subunit ribosomal RNA", at positions 524 to 776 of the family's 1533-position model. The record is from RNAcentral.